UACGUAGGGGGCAAGCGUUGUCCGGAAUCAUUGGGCGUAAAGAGCGUGUAGGCGGCCAGAAAAGUCCGCUGUGAAAACUCGAGGCUCAACUUCGAGCUGUCGGUGGAAACUUUCUGGCUAGAGUCCGGAAGAGGAGAAUGGAAUUCCUGGUGUAGCGGUGAAAUGCGCAGAUAUCAGGAAGAACACCGAUGGCGAAGGCAGGUCUCUGGGCCGAUACUGACGCUGAGGAGCGAAAGCGUGGGGAGCGAACAGG
This 253-nucleotide ribosomal RNA is filed under the name uncultured bacterium. RNAcentral's name for it is "partial 16S ribosomal RNA". It matches the Rfam family "Bacterial small subunit ribosomal RNA", at positions 524 to 776 of the family's 1533-position model. The record is from RNAcentral.